Sapajus apella (tufted capuchin) is the source of this 2150-nucleotide long non-coding RNA. RefSeq lists it as uncharacterized. The transcript is spliced from 2 exons. The record is from RefSeq and is a predicted model, not a curated record. Lineage: Eukaryota; Metazoa; Chordata; Mammalia; Primates; Cebidae.
AAUACCCAUUAAUGGGCAAUGGCUUUGCAGCAAGGGUUUGGACGCCUGGGCCUUGGCUCUAAACCGGAUCAUCAGGGUAUGGGGCAGGGACGGUUCUCUGGGUUACGUGGGUGGGGGGAGACAGGACUGGAACGUGGGCAGGAGAAAGGCAUGAAAGAGAGAGUCCAUUUAGUUGUGUUGUUGUGAACCGAAAAUUGAUUCACUAGACACUGACAUGUAAGAGUCCUUGUCACACACACAAGGAGAACGUGAGCGGUGGGAAUAAAGGGUUAACGACUAGACUGUUUAGCUCCAGGACCAUACCACUACGGUGAUGGGAGGUACCACAGGGGAGGGGUCGUGUAUUUCGGAAGGCACCAUUGUACUAGUGAAGACAAGAAAGGUCUCCUCAUUCCGCGAGUGGAUCGGCCUCCACCCUAGACCGAGGAGAGAAUGACUCUGCCUUGACCGACCCCAGCGCCGGGCGGACCCGAUCUUCGGCCUAAAGAGUCCACCCGUCUGGAAGCCGCCACCACCAAGCUUUUAUUAAUAUAUCGGUUCCCACCGGGUUGGCUAUACAGAUGUUAAGCAACUCCGGGGGUGGGGUGAGGAGGAGGCCGCGGAGCGGUGAUUGCUUCCUGGAUGAGUUGCAUAGGGCGGGACAAAAUCCUGUCCUGAGCUCUGAUUGGUCACCGCGAGACUUCCCGCUUAAGCUCUUCCAGGGUACCAAGGUUUUCCGGAAUCACUAAGAGGCUACAAGCCGAGUCCCGGCUCCGCGCUCCCAUUGGCUGCUGUUUCGGCGCAGGCGCUGUGGUUCCUGGGUUGGCAUUCAGGGUUGCCGAGGUAGGGCUUUGGCUACUGGAGACCGUAGGUUCGAAUCCCUCUGGGAACUUCAACUUGUGCACCUGUAAAAGAAGCUGGCAUUAAUGGCUUGUACUCAAGGGCUGGCACAGAGUGUGUCGGGGUCAGAGGAGAAAAUUCCCUUUGGAAACAGAUGUGGAUAGUUGAGGACAAGAGAGCAGGACACUAACUUCCCUGUGACCUGUCCCCUCCCAGACCACGGUCACCCCAGACUCACUCGGAUCUUCUUGUAAUCGCACAGGUACUCAACUUCAAAGUCAUAGAGGUUCCUCUUAGAGACACCAAGGGCAGGGCAGGAGAGCUUGGCCAGGCGGCACAGGUCCUGCAGCUGAUUCCAAGAAGACUUGCAACACACACUACAGCCUGGAUCAGGGGGCACAAAAAGAACUAUUACUGGGCAGCCUGACCAGGUCAGGAGUCAAAGGGGACCCCAAAUCCUCCCUGGGACAUCCCAAAGACUGCCUAAGAGUCAGGGAAAUUUAAUCCACAGGCCUUCCCCAAUGCUGAGACUGUUCUACAACAGAAAUAUGCUUUGAACCCUAAUGCUCACUGCCCAAGGCUGCCCCUCGAACAGCAGACCUCUAAGUGGGGUUUGCAACAUGAAUUGUCCUAAAGGAAUCUGUUCCUCUGCAGAGCUUCAAACUCCCUCUGUUAUUCCUAAAACUGGCUGCAAACCUGCCUUGGGUUCAGGACCUGAUCACCCUUCUCUCCACUUUGCAAAAGAAAGAGAACAACCCCCCAUCUCAGUAGGAUGCAAUGCCCCGAGGAGCGAGGAGUGGUGGGUAGGGGGACAAGAUUAAAACCUCCAGGGCACCAAACAAAGGCGUAACUGGAAAGACUGGUCCUUAAUCCCUUAUCUCAAACUCCUGGGCCAGAUGUGUUUUGGAAUUCAAAGUUUUUUGAAUUUUACAAGACUAUUUCUAGGAUAUCCCAUACAUCACCUAACACCCCCAGCGUGGCCAGGGGACAUCAAGCUAUAAUCAAAUGCAUUAAUCAUCCUGCAGCAAAACUAUGAAUUUCCCACAUUAAAUAGGAGAAAAAAAGAUGUAAAAUAGCCUCACAGAAUAGUUCCACUUUAUAAUCUACUUUUGCCAUAAAUGGUGCCAAAUUUAAGAAAAGGAUUUCAGUUUUCAGGGCUUUUUAGAUUUUGUAAUCACAAGCAAGAGAUUUCGGAAUGAUAGUACAUUACAGGAAGGCUACUUAAAUGAUCAAUCUGGGUGCCUUAAAUCCACAAGGUAUAUUUUUUCCUGCUGCAUUUUGACUUUCUGUUUCAUCCAUCUUCCUGUAAAAAGCAAAGCUCGUCCAAAGGG